This is a long non-coding RNA of Gallus gallus (chicken), 769 nucleotides long. RefSeq lists it as uncharacterized. The transcript has 2 exons. NCBI's taxonomy places the organism in Eukaryota, Metazoa, Chordata, Aves, Galliformes, Phasianidae. The record is from RefSeq and is a predicted model, not a curated record.
GGAAUGCACAUGCAGUCUUGGAACAUCCCCAGCUGCUCGCCUGCAGCAGGAUGGACACUCGCCACUGAAGCGUUGCCACCUCUUUGGGGUUACACAAGGUCGUACACCAUCCUCAGCAUGGUGCUUUGCUGGGUGCUCUUGAUACGAGCUCAGCUGCUUGUUUGCCCCAGAGCAGUUCAGAUAUUCCUGCCUAUCCCUUGGUAAAAUAUUUACUAUGCAGUCUUAUCACCUCCCUAGAAGGCUUUGUUGGAGCUGGCUGAUGCAUUAAUUCGUUCAGGAUCUAACUUGGGGUUUUUCUACAGAGGCCUGGACCACGUCCAACAGCAUUAAGAAAGAAACCUUCCUUUCUUACUACAUUCUUUUAGGCAGGCUUGCACCUGAAACCUGAACUGCAUGUGGCACUGAGAUGGCUGCACGGAGCUGCCCUCCUUUCUCCUGAGGUUGGCUGUGACCAUUGGUUUGCAUGUGGGGAAAAGCACCCACUUAACAAGCCAGUUGUCACCUCUCCAGACACAGGAUAAAAAUGAAUGAGCUGAAGAAGAGCCAGGUUAGAGUCUGGGGAACAUUUUCUGACGCAAAGUGUAUGAGGCAGUGGCCCUGGCUGCCCAGGAAUGCAUGUGUGAGAAGAGUUUCAGCUUGACACUUAAAGGUUUCAGCAAGGUGCUAUCGUUCCUGGAUCUCAUCCAGUCAUGCGAACAAGCAAGCCUUCACUCAGGAUUAUCAACAAGAAAUUCCUUCCUAGGAUAAAUGAAUGGCUGAUGAUGAUGAA